Molecule: non-coding RNA, 2647 nt
Organism: Malus domestica (apple)
Lineage: Eukaryota; Viridiplantae; Streptophyta; Magnoliopsida; Rosales; Rosaceae
Source: RefSeq, a predicted model, not a curated record
AUUACCGUUACAAAGAGAGAGGAAAGAGAUGAGAGUCUCUCUCAGUUACAUCAAAGAAAAUCCAAUAAUUCAAACAAUCUACCCUAUGAGAUAGUUACAUGUGGAAAAAACAAUCACUUAACUAAAUGAAUCUGAAAUGCACACUUGGACUAUGAUCCAAAGCUCACAUUUAAUCGAAGCUUUUAAAUUUGUAGGGACCAAUGUUCAUUUCUUGCAAAACACUUAUGCACUAACACAAAGGAGGGUAAGGAAUUUUACCCCAAGACAUAGUUGAAAACACAGAUGAUCACGGUAAGCGUCACCGCUGCAAAGAUGACUCAAAAAAGGAUUAACAAGAGACGUUAAUACAAAGAACUGAUUUCCAUUCAAGUCUGAGUUCUUACAAAGGAUACACACAUAUUUAUAGGCUAAGGAGAAACUCUCCCGAAACUCUUCUAAAACUAUCUAGGAACAAGAGGAAUCUUCUUCCCUUGUCCACUACUUACACAAGAUAAGAAGAAAUCUCCUUUGUCCGCAGCUUCUUCUUCGUGAUAUAUUUUGGUUUAGAUAAGUAGCUAUAUACACAAUUUUUUGCUAAAUAUGACACAAUUUUGAGAAUGUGUUGGCUCAAUCUGUGUUGAUUGCAACAUGUUUCGCUCCCAUGUGGCGGAGAAGCUGUGGACAUGAAAUGUUAGAAUAUGAGACAAUAGUUGGGCCGAAAUCCUACCGAUUUAAGUUUUAGGCAUGUGGAGAUUUUUGAUUGUUGACGUGCAUAAGCUGAGGUCAUUCUAUCUUGAUUGACGUUAAGUUUUGUCCCAUCCCAGGUACUAUGGUGUGCCACUGCACUUGAUACGUGAGCUCUAUGAAACAUUUAGGAACUUUAAGAUUCGCAUUGCUGAUUACAUUCGUUAUCGAAAGCUCACAUCAAACAUGAAUGAUCAAUUCCCAGAUGCUACGCAUGAAGAACUUAAUGCAAGUGACGCAACUUGUAUCAUUUGCCGUGAAGAGAUACAACAGCCAAGAAACUAUUAUGUGGACACCUUUUUCAUGUGCCUUGCCUUCGAUAAUGGUUAGAGCAAAAGCAUACCUGACCUCCUUGCAGGGCCCUAGUUGUACCUCCUGACAGUGGGAAAGGUACAGCUGGCGGACAUAUAGGGGUUCAUAGUCAGAUGCUCAUUGAUGAGUCGAUUUUAUAUUAUAUAUUUAACCCUAUUCUUAGUAUAUUUUAAUUAAUAUUUUAGAAGAAUUGUGAUACUUUGAAUUGUAUUUCUAAUAUAUGACUUUCGACUUCCUCUGGAGCAAAAUGUGGUCAAAUAGAUGAAUUUUGGAGUAAUUCCAAGUGGAGGACGUUCAUGAGUCAUUUGGCUUGAUUGUGUUAAAAUUUGAAAAUUUUCUACCUAACGGUGAUUGUCUAGCAAUAAAAUAAACGAGUGAUGUGCAGUAUUGAAAUAAUGACAUUUUGGGUUUGAAUUGCGUUUUUGGAGUCUAAGGUGACCUCGGAUAAGUUCGUGGCCUUCUGGAAAUAUGUUCAAAACGUCCUAAUCUUCAAAACAAGAUAUUAUGGGCCGGAUUUGGAGGAUAUCUGAGGCUGAAACGUAGCUAGACAAGUACCUUGGCAGAUUCUCCUAGCUUAAUUAGGACUUUAUUUUCUAAGUUAUUUUAUUAUUAUUUAGUUUCCUAGUUAGAAUAAAAGACUUUGUUUUAGGGUUUGUGCGAUGGUUGAGGAUGGAAUAUAAGGCUUUGCCGUUCAGUAUAAAAUUAUGGUGAGUUGACUGAUGAUUUUAAUUGGGAACAGGGACAGGCACAACGUCUCAGGAUGGUGGAGUUGCGGGUGAUCGUGUGAGCCAAUAUGAAGCCAGGCUCCGAGCUGCUGCUACUGCUGCAUCGAUAUAUUAGAAGUCUCAUGUAUAUCCUUCUGCAAACAGACAAGUAUGGUUGCUUGUGAGAGUGUGUGCUUGAUACAUAUGAUUUGGAUAUGUUGCACUGCAUAGAAUGCUGCAUACUAGACCCAUACAAACUACGCCCUCUUGUGUGAAGGCCUCCUGGAUAUGCAGCACUUCCUCAGGUUCAAAGACAUAUGGUUGUUGACUCCUCUAAUACUGAAUCUAGUGGAGAAGCUUGUAGUGGACAAUCACAACCGCAGCUUGCAACCCCUGGUGGACCUGCAAACUGUUAGACCAAGUCAGUGUUUGAUUCCUGUUCCCGUGACUUCAGGAGGUUGCAAUCAACCUAAACUUUUAUCUACAAAGAGUUAGCUUAGGUUACAACUCCUUUAAAUGUUUGUUGUUUCUGUGAUAUGUUUCCUUUGUAUAUUCUGUUGUAAUUUUUGAAUUUUCAAUAGCCUUGUAAAUAGGGAUUUCAUUCCCUGAUGUAAUCUGAAGUGGAAUAUAAAUGCAUACAGUCUCUCAUUGAAAAGACAUGCAAUUGAAGUGAACUCUUGAGUAUUCUUAAGUCUUACAUGGUAUACGAGCCCUAGUAGUCCAACAACACAGAUCCUAAUUUUUUUUUUCCAAUGGCUAAUAACUUGAAUGGUGCUGCAACCCCAACCAAUUCCAUUCCCAACCCAGCAAUCCCUGCCAUGAACCCCUUAUUGUCCAUGACUACAAUUGUCAACAUAAAAUUGGAUCGAACCAACUAUCCUCUGUGGUUGGCUAAGAUCCUACCAAUC